GAUGAACGCUGGCGGCGUGCUUAACACAUGCAAGUCGAACGAAGCAAUUUAGCGGAAGUUUUCGGAUGGAAGCUAAAUUGACUGAGUGGCGGACGGGUGAGUAACGCGUGGGUAACCUGCCUCACACUGGGGGACAACGGUUAGAAAUGACUGCUAAUACCGCAUAAGCGCACAGGGCCGCAUGGUCCGGUGUGAAAAACUCCGGUGGUGUGAGAUGGACCCGCGUUUGAUUAGCUAGUUGGUGGGUAACGGCCUACCAAGGCGGCGAUCAAUAGCCGACCUGAGAGGGUGACCGGCCACAUUGGGACUGAGACACGGCCCAAACUCCUACGGGAGGCAGCAGUGGGGAAUAUUGCACAAUGGGGGAAACCCUGAUGCAGCGACGCCGCGUGAGUGAAGAAGUAUUUCGGUAUGUAAAGCUCUAUCAGCAGGGAAGAAAAUGACGGUACCUGACUAAGAAGCCCCGGCUAACUACGUGCCAGCCGCCGCGGUAA
This 494-nucleotide ribosomal RNA is filed under the name uncultured bacterium. RNAcentral describes it as "partial 16S ribosomal RNA". It matches the Rfam family "Bacterial small subunit ribosomal RNA", at positions 28 to 523 of the family's 1533-position model. The record is from RNAcentral.